Strigops habroptila (Kakapo) is the source of this 2410-nucleotide long non-coding RNA. Lineage: Eukaryota; Metazoa; Chordata; Aves; Psittaciformes; Psittacidae. The record is from Ensembl.
GAAACAAGAGUUGUAUUUCAAAAAGAUGCAUGUGAUGAGCUGGUAUUAAGGAAGAUCUAAGAACAGUGGAGCGUAUGCUAUUAGCCAAAGAAUUUAGCUUCACAGACCUUGUCCUCAUCCCCUUCCACACUGCCCCUACCUUUCAUUUCUACCCAGGGCUGUUUGUGUCUGCAAAACAGGAUAUUCAGCCAGACCUUCCAGCAACCCUUUGCAAUCUGCAUGGUUUGAUGAAGUCCAGUGACAGUCUCAAUAUACUCAGUUAAGUGAAUGUAAUGUCCUGCUGUGUAAAAACUAAAAAUUAAACAAAAAUUUUGUAUUUACAUCUAACAAGUAGUACCCUGGCUGAAUGAGGUGAUGGGUUCAUCUUCUUUGCUUACUGCUAUGGCGGUCUUCAUUGAAGUGAAAGGCUUAACUAUUUUAAGCAUAGCCCUUAGUUUUAUUCUAGGGCUAGGAAGGUAAAUGUAAUAACCUGGUGGUUCACUAUACAUCCUAGCCUCUAUAGAAACGUUGUUCUUUAACAGUGAUGAAUUGAACAUCACUAAUUGUAGUUGUCAAUGAACAAACUAUGUUAUUGGGGUCCCUUCUGCAAUGAACUGAGAAUCGCUGAUAGUAGGCAGACAAAAGUGAGAGAAGUAUCCAAGUAUACAGAUAUCCAUUCUGCGCAUAUAUUGUGCAAAGGCAGAGAAUGACAUUGCCAGCCAGCAAGAAAAAAAAAUCUUGGGAUAGUAAGAGUCACAGGGAAACAUGAAUAUUUGGAGAGUGUGAUGACUCCACCAGCACCUUGCUUGUUAACUAAGGUACUGCAACAAAUAGAGAAUGUAGGCCAAGAGGUGAUAGCUGAGUGAAAAUCAUGCUGGAUGAAGGAAUUUGCUUUUCCUCCUAUUUGUAUGAAGUGACAUUUCUGAAAAAUAGCAAUAAUAUCUGCAACCUAAGAUGGCACUUGACAAAUGGUGCUUUUUCCUCAUUGUUAGUGCUCUUUGUUCAUAUUAGGCUUAAUGGAGUGCGGAAGUAAUCGAAUUUAUGUCAUUGCUUUAGCUUGUAUUAAAAGCCAUUAUAGCCCCAAGGAGAUACCCAGCAGCUAUCUUGUUCUCAGUUUAGAGAAGAGCACAGAAUCUGAUGUCACAUACAGCACGCACACACACAAAAAUGUUUACGUGGUUUGAAAUCAUAUAACUGAGUUAGUUUGCAUCUAAUGAGCAACUAAUGGAUGAUUUCCAUUAAUAGGGAUAUUUAACAGCAGAUGAUAGGCCAAACUGCAGAGCUUCCAGCUGGCACCUGAUAAGUAGUUUCAUCCACGUAACUGUGAUUACAGCCUGAAAUAAGGGUUUCUGCUCAGGGCAUAACCAUACCAUGACAAAGAGGAAAGCUGCUUUGAAAACACCGCUUGCUGCUUUUUCUCAUACACCUUGUGCAGGAAAGAGGAUCUGGAAACAUAUUUAUAGUCACUAACUACAACUAUCUAGGGUACAAGUCAGUCUGUUGGUGGCUUGAAAAGUAAUGGGUCCCUUUAAUGAGCAGUAGUGCUCAUUGAAGGCCUUCAUUUAAACAGGGUUAAGCCCACAUUGAAAAUGUGGCAGGACAUAGCUCACGUCCUGGCGGCCCAGUUAUACUAGGGUAAACACCUCACAAGUACUAAUCUAAACAAUUAAUUCUGUUAAGCUGACAGUCAUUGAAGAAAGGAUUCUUUGGGAGAUAUCCAAUUGUUCUUUUUUGAGGUGAUCCUGCCCCUCUACUCUGCUCUCAUGAGACCUCACUUGGAGUACUGAUUGCAAUUCUGGUGUCCACAACAUGAAAAGGACAUGGAACUGUUAGAGUAAGUCCAGAGGAGGGCCACGAGAAUGAUAAGGGGGCUGGAGCACCUCCCAUAUGAAGACAGGCUGAGAAAGUUGGGGCUGUUCAGCCUGGAGAAGAGAAGGCUGAGUGGAGACCUCAUAGCAGCCUUCCAGUAUCUGAAGGGGGUCUACAAGGAUGCUGGGGAGGGACUCUUCAUCAGUGAUUGUAGUGAUAGGACAAGGGGUAAUGGGUUCAAACUUUAACAGGGAAAGUUCAGGUUGGAUAUAAGGAAGAAGUUCUUUACUGUGAGGGUGGUGAGGCACUGGAACAGGUUGCCCAAAGAAGUGGUAAAUGCUCCAUCCCUGGCAGUGUUCAAGGCCAGGUUGGUCAGAGCCUUAGGUGACAUGGUCUAGUGUGAGGUGUCCCUGCCCAUGGCAGGGGGUUGGAACUAGAUGAUCUUAAGGUCCUUUCCAACCUUAACUAUUCUAUGAUUCUAUGAUUCUAAGAUACUAUGACUCAGCUGUAAGUACUGCAAGAAUAUCCUGCCUCUCCAUUAUUGUGUUUCUUGUGACUACAAAAUCAAUAAAGACUGAGAAUAUAAAAGCCAACCAUACUUUGAGAUACAAUUACUAUGAAA